Molecule: ribosomal RNA, 253 nt
Filed under: uncultured bacterium
Lineage: Bacteria
Description: partial 16S ribosomal RNA
Rfam family: Bacterial small subunit ribosomal RNA
Source: RNAcentral
GACGAACCGAGCGAACGUUGUUCGGAAUCACUGGGCGUAAAGCGCACGUAGGCGGCUUUCUAAGUCAGGGGUGAAAUCCUGGAGCUCAACUCCAGAACUGCCUUUGAUACUGGAGAGCUUGAGUCCGGAAGAGGUGAGUGGAACUCCGAGUGUAGAGGUGAAAUUCGUAGAUAUUCGGAAGAACACCAGUGGCGAAGGCGGCUCACUGGUCCGGUACUGACGCUGAGGUGCGAAAGCGUGGGGAGCAAACAGG